UGGGGAAUAUUGCACAAUGGGCGCAAGCCUGAUGCAGCCAUGCCGCGUGUAUGAAGAAGGCCUUCGGGUUGUAAAGUACUUUCAGCGAGGAGGAAGGCGGUGAGGUUAAUAACCUCAUCGAUUGACGUUACUCGCAGAAGAAGCACCGGCUAACUCCGUGCCAGCAGCCGCGGUAAUACGGAGGGUGCAAGCGUUAAUCGGAAUUACUGGGCGUAAAGCGCACGCAGGCGGUCUGUCAAGUCGGAUGUGAAAUCCCCGGGCUCAACCUGGGAACUGCAUUCGAAACUGGCAGGCUAGAGUCUUGUAGAGGGGGGUAGAAUUCCAGGUGUAGCGGUGAAAUGCGUAGAGAUCUGGAGGAAUACCGGUGGCGAAGGCGGCCCCCUGGACAAAGACUGACGCUCAGGUGCGAAAGCGUGGGGAGCAAACA
This 427-nucleotide ribosomal RNA is filed under the name uncultured bacterium. RNAcentral's name for it is "partial 16S ribosomal RNA". It matches the Rfam family "Bacterial small subunit ribosomal RNA", at positions 355 to 774 of the family's 1533-position model. RNAcentral also lists the same sequence under 1 other name. The record is from RNAcentral.